CCCUGUAUUCAAAAGUGAUGGUGGGUUGCCUGUGCCCUGGUCCUUCAGAGGAUGAUGAAAGCCUUUCCCCGUGUUUAGAAGGUCCACUCUCAUCCUUGCCAGACCCUGGUGCUUUCGUUCU
This 121-nucleotide small nucleolar RNA is filed under the name Jaculus jaculus (lesser Egyptian jerboa). RNAcentral's name for it is "Small nucleolar RNA SNORA71 (ENSJJAG00000002595.1)". It matches the Rfam family "Small nucleolar RNA SNORA71". From Rfam's summary of the family: The members of this family belong to the H/ACA class of snoRNAs which bind a number of proteins (including dyskerin, Gar1p and Nop10p) to form snoRNP complexes. Lineage: Eukaryota; Metazoa; Chordata; Mammalia; Rodentia; Dipodidae. The record is from Rfam by way of RNAcentral.